This 458-nucleotide ribosomal RNA is filed under the name uncultured bacterium. RNAcentral's name for it is "bacterial SSU rRNA". It matches the Rfam family "Bacterial small subunit ribosomal RNA", at positions 30 to 507 of the family's 1533-position model. The record is from RNAcentral.
AUUGAACGCUGGCGGCAUGCCUUACACAUGCAAGUCGAACGGUAACAGGUCUUCGGAUGCUGACGAGUGGCGAACGGGUGAGUAAUAUAUCGGAACGUGCCCAGUCGUGGGGGAUAACGUAGGGAAACUUACGCUAAUACCGCAUGCGCCCUUCGGGGGAAAGCCGGGGACCUUCGGGCCUGGCGCGAUUGGAUGAGCCCAUGUCGGAUUAGCUAGUUGGCGGGGUAAUGGCCCACCAAGGCGACGAUCCGUAGCUGGUCUGAGAGGAUGAUCAGCCACACUGGAACUGAGACACGGUCCAGACUCCUACGGGAGGCAGCAGUAGGGAAUAUUGGACAAUGGGCGCAAGCCUGAUCCAGCCAUGCCGCGUGCACGAUGAAGGCCUUCGGGUUGUAAAGUGCUUUUUGAGGGGAUGAGGAAGGACAGUACCCUCAGAAUAAGUCUCGGCCAACUACGUG